RNAcentral lists this transfer RNA (73 nucleotides) under Gallus gallus (chicken). It matches the Rfam family "tRNA". From Rfam's summary of the family: Transfer RNA (tRNA) molecules are approximately 80 nucleotides in length. Their secondary structure includes four short double-helical elements and three loops (D, anti-codon, and T loops). The record is from Rfam by way of RNAcentral. Lineage: Eukaryota; Metazoa; Chordata; Aves; Galliformes; Phasianidae.
ACUCUUGUAGCCCAGUGGGUAGAGCAUGGGACUAUUAAUCCCAGGGUUAUGGGUUUGAGCCCCACGUUGGGUU